RNAcentral lists this ribosomal RNA (254 nucleotides) under uncultured bacterium. Its description in RNAcentral is "partial 16S ribosomal RNA". It matches the Rfam family "Bacterial small subunit ribosomal RNA", at positions 524 to 776 of the family's 1533-position model. The record is from RNAcentral.
UACAGGGGGUGCAAACGUUGCUCGGAAUCAUUGGGCGUAAAGCGCACGUAGGCGGUUCGUUAUGUCGGAUGUGAAAGCCCUUGGCUUAACCGAGGAAGUGCAUCCGAAACUGGCGAGCUAGAGUACGAAAGAGGAUCGCGGAAUUCCCGGUGUAGAGGUGAAAUUCGUAGAUAUCGGGAGGAACACCGGUGGCGAAGGCGGCGAUCUGGGUGCGAUACUGACGCUGAGGUGCGAAAGCGUGGGGAGCAAACAGG